This is a long non-coding RNA of Colius striatus (speckled mousebird), 472 nucleotides long. RefSeq lists it as uncharacterized. The record is from RefSeq and is a predicted model, not a curated record. NCBI's taxonomy places the organism in Eukaryota, Metazoa, Chordata, Aves, Coliiformes, Coliidae. The transcript has 2 exons.
CUGAGGCGUCGGCUGUUGAGGGACUGUUGAGGGAGAUUUGGCUCGGUUCCUUCUGUAGCCUGGCUCGUUGGGGAUCCUCUGUCACCCUUCCUUACUCAGUGACUGCUCUCAGAUACUUUCAUAUGGUGACUUUGUGUUAAUUGUGAGAACAACCCUUUUUUUCCUUAACUGUGGAAAGAAAUGAGCUCAUACCUCUUUCUGAAGCUUUGACCAUCAUAGCAGGGAAAGACGCCUCAGACCCCUUCUGAUGAAAGUCUUCAUAGGCUGUAGCCUAAAAAUCAAUGUCUUAACAACUUCAACUUCGUGGUGACACCUCAGUUCUGGAAGAUGGGGCCCCAUUGAGAUUGUGGUAAGUAAUUGUUGUGUUAUGGUGAACUGAACUUGUUUUCUGCAUCAUCUGCUGUAAAUGUCCUGCAAAGCUGAUCUGAACAACCUGGUGUAUUGCAAUAAAUGGAAUCUGCAAGCAAAGAAA